RNAcentral lists this ribosomal RNA (277 nucleotides) under uncultured bacterium. RNAcentral describes it as "partial 16S ribosomal RNA". It matches the Rfam family "Bacterial small subunit ribosomal RNA", at positions 28 to 309 of the family's 1533-position model. The record is from RNAcentral.
GACGAACGCUGGCGGCGUGCUUAACACAUGCAAGUCGAGCGGUAAGGCCCUUUCGGGGUACGACGAGCGGCGAACGGGUGAGUAACACGUGGGUGACCUGCCCUCAGCUCUGGGAUAAGCCUGGGAAACCGGGUCUAAUACUGGAUAUGACUCCAUGACGCAUGUUGUAGGGGUGGAAAGCCUUGUGCGGGCUGAGGAUGGGCCCNCGGCCUAUCAGCUUGUGUGGGUGAGGCCUACCAAGCGACGACGGGUAGCCGGCCUGAGAGGGCGACCGGCC